Molecule: ribosomal RNA, 253 nt
Filed under: uncultured bacterium
Lineage: Bacteria
Description: partial 16S ribosomal RNA
Rfam family: Bacterial small subunit ribosomal RNA
Source: RNAcentral
UACGGGGGGGGCAAGCGUUGUUCGGAAUUACUGGGCAUAAAGGGCUCGUAGGCGGCCAACUAAGUCGGAUGUGAAAUCCCCAGGCUCAACUUGGGAACUGCAUCCGAUACUGGAUGGCUUGAAUUCGGGAGAGGGAUGCAGAAUUCCAGGUGUAGCGGUGAAAUGCGUAGAUAUCUGGAGGAAUACCGGUGGCGAAGGCGGCAUCCUGGACCGACAUUGACGCUGAGGUGCGAAAGCGUGGGGAGCAAACAGG